Molecule: ribosomal RNA, 327 nt
Filed under: uncultured eukaryote
Lineage: Eukaryota
Description: partial 18S ribosomal RNA
Rfam family: Eukaryotic small subunit ribosomal RNA
Source: RNAcentral
CCCUUAGACGUUCUGGGCUGCACGCGCGUUACACUGAUGCACUCAACGAGCAUAUAACCUUGGCCGAGAGGCCUGGGUAAUCUUGUUAACAUGCAUCGUGAUAGGGAUAGAUUAUUGCAAUUAUUAAUCUUGAACGAGGAAUUCCUAGUAAUCGCAGAUCAUCAAUCUGCAAUGAUUACGUCCCUGCCCUUUGUACACACCGCCCGUCGCACCUACCGAUUGAAUGGUCCGGUGAGGACUCGGGAUUGUGGUUUGGCUCCUUCAUUGGGGCCUGACUGUGAGAACUUGUCCAAACCUUAUCAUUUAGAGGAAGGUGAAGUCGUAACA